CCUACGGGUGACAGCAGUGGGGGAUAUUGCACAAUGGGGGAAACCCUGAUGCAGCGACGCCGCGUGUGGGAAGACGGUCUUCUGGAUUGUAAACCACUGUCCCCAGGGACGAAAAUGACGGUACCUGGGGAGGAAGCUCCGGCUAACUACGUGCCAGCAGCCGCGGUAAUACGUAGGGAGCAAGCGUUUUCCGGAAUUACUGGGUGUAAAGGGAGCGUAGGCGGGGAUGCAAGUUGGGGGUCAAAACUACCGGCUCAACCGAUAGUCGCACUCAAAACUGCAGCUCUUGAGUGAAGUAGAGGCAGGCGGAAUUCCUAGUGUAGCGGUGAAAUGCGUAGAUAUUAGGAGGAACACCAGUGGCGAAGGCGGCCUGCUGGGCUUUUACUGACGCUGAGGCUCGAAAGUGUGGGGAGCAAACAGGAUUAGAUACCCCUGUAGUC
RNAcentral lists this ribosomal RNA (440 nucleotides) under uncultured bacterium. RNAcentral's name for it is "partial 16S ribosomal RNA". It matches the Rfam family "Bacterial small subunit ribosomal RNA", at positions 338 to 795 of the family's 1533-position model. The record is from RNAcentral.